Long non-coding RNA from Salvia splendens (bonfire salvia), 1269 nucleotides. RefSeq lists it as uncharacterized. The transcript is spliced from 2 exons. The record is from RefSeq and is a predicted model, not a curated record. NCBI's taxonomy places the organism in Eukaryota, Viridiplantae, Streptophyta, Magnoliopsida, Lamiales, Lamiaceae.
UUCUUAAUUCUUUGAUAGAAAAAACACAUAUAUAAAGUCCUUAUACUUUUCUGAUUUAAAACAUCGCCAAAGAAAUAAUAUACCCACACAAUAACUCCCGUCUAUGGCUCAAGCAUACAACUAACUAAAGUAGUCCACUAAAGAAUUUAUUUAGUCUUACAACAAAAGAUAAACUAAAUCAAGUAAAUUAAUGUCUAUAUACUCCCACAUCACUACACGUAUAUACUCCUUAUCCACCACAGAAAGAAUUAAGUCAACAAUUAAAAGAAUUCAACAUAAAUACUCCCCGACCAAACACACGUACAUAUGCUAAAUUCCCCACCCAACACAAUAUGCAAAGAAGUAAAAAGAACUAAGAACUAUUUAUUCAGUAUACCCCCGAAAAGCCAAAUCGUCUUUCUCAAAUUGCACCUCCCCUAUAACACUAUCUCUCUCACUGCUCUCUCUCUCUCUCUAAAGCUCACAAUUUCUUCCCUUGCCUUUCUUCUACAAAACACAAUAUAGUAAGCACCAUAGUCCUCAACUUCUUGUUUCUUCCUCUCCUCUGUACUUUAUCUCCCAAACUCUCAUUCCCCAAAAUUAAGUCUCAAAACAGAAAUUUCAAAUCCUAAAACAGUAGUACAAGGCGUGCCUCCAUCUUUCUUCCUCUCGGUCUCUCCUCACCGUCGGUAAAACUCGCCGCCGCCAGCUCGUUCAGGCAGCUGCCGUCCGCCACUGUCAGUCGCCCCUUUAGCACCGCCCAGCCGCCGUCGCCGGCGCCUUAGUCGAGCGGCGCCGCCUCUCACAACAGAUUCGUCCCUCCCCUUUUUUCUCCACUCAAAACUAAUCUUUUAUUAUGUUUUCUAAUAUUUCGAUAUCAAUUAUUAACGGCAGAUAACGUUUUUCAGAAAUCUGGGAUUUAAAAUUUCAUCUAAAAAGGCCUAAGAGUGAAACUUGUGUAAACUACUGUGAAACAUGAAGCUAUGCCUUGAAACAAAACGUGGAAGAUUUCAUGAUUUAGAGAAAAUUACCUUUGAUCAGAAGGAAAUCGAUUUGCAGGAAGAACUGUCUCUCUCACGGGUGGUGGAGAGAUUUGAGGUAACUACCCUGGAUUUGAAUUUGAAGAGGGAUAGAUAUCCUUGGACUGAAAUUAAAAUUAAGAGGAUUGAUUUUGGGCUCAAAUGGGCUUUCAACUAAAUAAAAGAAUUGGGCAAGCAAAAGAAUUAUUUCUUAGGCAUAUGUAAAUUCUUUUUCCAUCGUCGAAAUCACAUGCCUCGUUCUUUGGUCUUC